UGAGCAAUCUGCCCUUCUCUUCGGAAUAAGCGUUGGAAACGACGUCUAAUGCCGAAUACGACCUCCUUUCGCAUGAUCGGAGGUGGAAAGCUCCGGCGGAGAAGGAUGAGCUCGCGGCCUAUCAGCUAGUUGGUGUGGGUAACGCCCACCAAGGCGACGACGGGUAGCCGGCCUGAGAGGGUGACCGGCCACACUGGGACUGAGACACGGCCCAGACUCCUACGGGAGCAGCAGG
This 235-nucleotide ribosomal RNA is filed under the name uncultured bacterium. Its description in RNAcentral is "partial 16S ribosomal RNA". It matches the Rfam family "Bacterial small subunit ribosomal RNA", at positions 118 to 354 of the family's 1533-position model. The record is from RNAcentral.